RNAcentral lists this ribosomal RNA (373 nucleotides) under uncultured organism. Its description in RNAcentral is "partial 16S ribosomal RNA". It matches the Rfam family "Bacterial small subunit ribosomal RNA", at positions 527 to 896 of the family's 1533-position model. The record is from RNAcentral.
GUAGGUGGCAAGCGUUGUCCGGAAUUAUUGGGCGUAAAGCGCGCGCAGGGCGGUCCUUUAAGUCUGAUGUGAAAGCCCACGGCUCAACCGUGGAGGGUCAUUGGAAACUGGGGGACUUGAGUACAGAAGAGGAAAGCGGAAUUCCAAGUGUAGCGGUGAAAUGCGUAGAGAUUUGGAGUAACACCAGUGGCGAAGGCGGCUUUCUGGUCUGUAACUGACGCUGAGGCGCGAAAGCGUGGGGAGCAAACAGGAUUAGAUACCCUGGUAGUCCACGCCGUAAACGAUGAGUGCUAAGUGUUAGGGGGGUUUCCGCCCCUUAGUGCUGCAGCUAACGCAUUAAGCACUCCGCCUGGGGAGUACGGCCGCAAGGCUG